This 253-nucleotide ribosomal RNA is filed under the name uncultured bacterium. Its description in RNAcentral is "partial 16S ribosomal RNA". It matches the Rfam family "Bacterial small subunit ribosomal RNA", at positions 524 to 776 of the family's 1533-position model. The record is from RNAcentral.
UACGUAGUUGGCAAGCGUUGUCCGGAUUUACUGGGCGUAAAGAGCGCGCAGGCGGUCGAUUUAGUCGUGUGUGAAAGCCCCCGGCUCAACUGGGGAGGGUCACGCGAUACUGAUCGACUCGAAGGCAGGAGAGGGUAGUGGAAUUCCCGGUGUAGUGGUGAAAUGCGUAGAUAUCUGGAGGAACACCGGUGGCGAAGGCGGCAUCCUGGACCGGUAUUGACGCUGAGGCGCGAAAGCCAGGGGAGCAAACGGG